This 705-nucleotide ribosomal RNA is filed under the name Septorioides strobi. RNAcentral describes it as "eukaryotic LSU rRNA". It matches the Rfam family "Eukaryotic large subunit ribosomal RNA", at positions 196 to 919 of the family's 3401-position model. Lineage: Eukaryota; Fungi; Ascomycota; Dothideomycetes; Botryosphaeriales; Septorioideaceae. The record is from RNAcentral.
CAGGACGUCAUAGAGGGUGAGAAUCCCGUAUGUGAUGGGUUGCGCGAGCCAUGUGAAACUCCUUCGACGAGUCGAGUUGUUUGGGAAUGCAGCUCUAAAUGGGAGGUAAAUUUCUUCUAAAGCUAAAUACCGGCCAGAGACCGAUAGCGCACAAGUAGAGUGAUCGAAAGAUGAAAAGCACUUUGGAAAGAGAGUUAAAAAGUACGUGAAAUUGUUGAAAGGGAAGCGCUUGCAACCAGACUUGCUCGCAGUUGCUCAACCCGCCUCCUGGUGGGUGUACUCUUCUGCGGUCAGGCCAGCAUCAGUUCGAGCGGUCGGAUAAAGGCGCCGGGAAUGUAGCUCCUCUCGGGGAGUGUUAUAGCCCGGCGUGGAAUGCGACCUGCUCGGACUGAGGAUCUCGCUUCGGCUAGGAUGCUGGCGUAAUGGUUGUAAGCGGCCCGUCUUGAAACACGGACCAAGGAGUCUAACAUCUAUGCGAGUGUUUGGGUGUCAAACCCAUGCGCGUAAUGAAAGUGAACGGAGGUGGGAACCCGCAAGGGCGCACCAUCGACCGAUCCUGAUGUCUUCGGAUGGAUUUGAGUAUGAGCAUAGCUGUUGGGACCCGAAAGAUGGUGAACUAUGCCUGAAUAGGGUGAAGUCAGAGGAAACUCUGAUGGAGGCUCGCAGCGGUUCUGACGUGCAAAUCGAUCGUCAAAUUUGGGUAUA